GUUGUUGGCUCAGUGGUAGAGUGCUUGCCUAGCAUGUGUGAGAUCCUGGGUUCAAUUCUCAGCACUACA
Molecule: transfer RNA, 69 nt
Filed under: Marmota monax (woodchuck)
Lineage: Eukaryota; Metazoa; Chordata; Mammalia; Rodentia; Sciuridae
Description: tRNA.Ala
Source: RNAcentral